CGUAAAUGUAAAUUAUGAAUAUUUAUAAUACUGUAUUUCAGUUUCAGAAAGACAGAAAAAUAACUAAAUAUAUAUUCAAUAGACUCAAGCUGAGACGUGAGAUCCUGGAGGUCUCGUCUGAAGACGAGGAAGAUGGAUGCGGACGAGGUGAAGAUAAGUGGUCUGUUCAAGAGCAUCUACCUUUAUGCACUUAAGCUCUGAGCUCCAGAGUUUGUGCUCUCAAUGAACACAUGGAUCAAUAGCACUGCGGAAACGGAGAGAGGAAGAAGAGGGGCGGAACGAGGGAAAACUCGCCCGGAGAAAAGUGAAAAAGCUUAAUCUUAAUAUGCAGAGACAGCCGUGUAUUAAACCAGGAUACGAGGGCAUUGCAUCCUGCCAGUCAUCUCUGGUGUUGCACAGAAGAAACUCACACAGGUUUCUAACAAUAGUCUGGAGCUUCGCCAACAUGCAGUGAUCCAGAGAACGGGCGAUGCGUCCCAGCAGACCGCAGUUCUGACAACACCCUCCUAUCCCCACUGAAAUCUUUAUUUACUGCCCCCACACCUCUCCCUCGCUAGGGCAAUUAAACCACCGCUGUGUCAGACUGUGAGGUUGUGCACCUUUCUCCUCCGUCGUGCAUACGAGGAUACACUUCAUUUGUUUAUUUGUCGUUCUUGCCCUGCUUCAUUUCGCCAACUGUUACACACUGCAUUAGCCACUAUGAGGGUUAUCUUCAAAUGUUAUAUUUAAUUAUUUCACAAUAAUAUUGUUAAGUAGAUCAUAAUUAGAGUUUCUAAUAAAAAAUAAAAGCAAAUCCUGUGAAAAACUGCAGUCGGCAAAGAAAUAGCUCAGUUGGUAGAGGUCAUGGGUGGGGUCGAUCCCAAAGGAGCCCAUGCUGAUCAAAUUUACCUCGCAAUGCACUGUAAACAAUUUUACGUAAAAGCAUCUUCGAAAGGUAAAAAUGCACAAAAAUGAAUCCUGCACACUUUGAUCUUGAAAAUAAAAAUUGCUAGUGAUGUU
Molecule: non-coding RNA, 999 nt
Organism: Misgurnus anguillicaudatus (oriental weatherfish)
Lineage: Eukaryota; Metazoa; Chordata; Actinopteri; Cypriniformes; Cobitidae
Source: RefSeq, a predicted model, not a curated record